GUUGGGGCCCAGGCGCGUGUCCAGCUUGGAGAUGAACUCCUGCGACGUCUGGGGACACAAGGGUGGGGUUGGAGAUCACCCAAGGUUGACCCAAUGCUUGGGUUGGAGACCACCCAAGGUUUGGGUUGGAGAUCACCCAAGGGUUGGGUUGGAGAACAUUCAAUGUUCACUCAUGGUUUGGGUUGGAGACCACCCAAGCUUUGCCCUGGAGACCACCCAAGGUUGACCCAAUGGUUUGGAUUGGAGACCACCCCAGGGUUGGGUUGGAGAUCACCCAAUCUUUGUCCUGGAGACCACCCGAGCUUUGUGCUGACCAUGUUGGAGAUGCUGCGCGUGUUCUCGGGGUUGAGCAUGACGAUCUCGGUGGUGAUGUGUCCUUCCACCGCCUCGGCCAUCUGGUCGGCCGUGCAGUUGAUGGACGGGUCGGGCGUGCGGAACCAUUUGUUGGCGUACCAGCCGAUGAGGAACCACACGUACUUCUUGCCGUAGAGCUUCUCCUUGUACACCUGCGUGGUCAUCAUCAUCGUCAUCAUCACCAUCAUCAUCAUCGUCAUCAUCAUCAUCCAUCCACGAUCCAUCA
Molecule: long non-coding RNA, 580 nt
Filed under: Zonotrichia albicollis (white-throated sparrow)
Lineage: Eukaryota; Metazoa; Chordata; Aves; Passeriformes; Passerellidae
Description: lncRNA (ENSZALG00000001734.1)
Source: RNAcentral